Molecule: unclassified non-coding RNA, 25 nt
Filed under: Mus musculus (house mouse)
Lineage: Eukaryota; Metazoa; Chordata; Mammalia; Rodentia; Muridae
Description: oocyte_clustered_small_RNA9005
Source: RNAcentral
UGAUACUCUGAAUUUGCUGGUCAAG